GAGGAGAGUGGUGUGUUAAACAAGCAUUUGUUUGUUCACACCACAAGUGACGCUGAGUUCCUGGCCGACCUUCAGCCAUGAAGAUCCUUUUCCAGAUCUUUGCUGUUGUCUUCUUAGUGCUCAUGGCUGUGCCAGCAUUCUCCCAGGCUCAGCUGACUCGGUGGCAAUGCAGGCGGCGUGGGGGUGACUGUUACAAUCCGGUAUGUCCCUUCAUUUCCAGACUCAUUGGAAGAUGCAUUCCAUUUGGCCACUGCUGUCAAACGAGACUGCGUGUCUGAGAGGCAGCCACUUGCUUCUAAAGUCAUUGGAUCCUGCUUCAACGGAACCCUGAAAAGCAGUUCAUUUCAGCUGGAAAGAACCUUGUGAGCUGGAGAAAUUCCAGAAGGGAGCCUUGUAUCACCCA
Mauremys reevesii (Reeves's turtle) is the source of this 403-nucleotide long non-coding RNA. RefSeq lists it as uncharacterized. NCBI's taxonomy places the organism in Eukaryota, Metazoa, Chordata, Testudines, Geoemydidae. The transcript is spliced from 4 exons. The record is from RefSeq and is a predicted model, not a curated record.